This 364-nucleotide ribosomal RNA is filed under the name Streptomyces olivaceus. Its description in RNAcentral is "bacterial SSU rRNA". It matches the Rfam family "Bacterial small subunit ribosomal RNA", at positions 100 to 498 of the family's 1533-position model. Lineage: Bacteria; Bacillati; Actinomycetota; Actinomycetes; Kitasatosporales; Streptomycetaceae. The record is from RNAcentral.
GAACGGGUGAGUAACGUGGGCAAUCUGCCCUGCACUCUGGGACAACCCUGGAAACGGGUAAUACCGGAUAUUACCUUCACGGGCUGAGGUUCGAAAGUCCGGCGGUGCAGGAUGAGCCCGCGGCCUAUCAGCUUGUUGGUGAGGUAAUGGCUCACCAGGCGACGACGGGUAGCCGGCCUGAGAGGGCGACCGGCCACACUGGGACUGAGACACGGCCCAGACUCCUACGGGAGGCAGCAGUGGGGAAUAUUGCACAAUGGGCGAAAGCCUGAUGCAGCGACGCCGCGUGAGGGAUGACGGCCUUCGGGUUGUAAACCUCUUUCAGCAGGGAAGAAGGACGGUACCUGCAGAAGAAGCGCCGGCU